GCUGACCGAAGAAAGAAGAGGGCGUCGGGGGAGGAAGAAGAUGGCGUCGAGGAGAAAGAGCUGACGAUGGAAUCGAGUAGGGGCUCCCUCCGGGUCCCUGGGAAUGAAGAGCAUUUUUUUUUUGUCCAGGGACCCUGUUUAGGGUCCAUACUGAAGAUGCUCUAAUGUGAUCCUUGCCAGUUAAUCACAUUUCGGACGGUGCAUAUGGAACUGAAAGAAUGAGUGCAGAGGAAGAAGUCUGCAAUCGUAAACAGGUUGUUUUCUGUAUAAGCCUUGCCGGCACCUCGUCAAUUCCGUGUACACCAAACAAAGCCUUGUCUGGACGGAUUUUUGUAACGGAACGGAAGGUAAGGCUUUGCCAUCUCGUCAGUUUAAAGCAGGUUGUAACGGAACGGAAGGUAAAGGUUGUUUGGACUUAAAACCUUCCCGGCGAACCUCACGGCAAAGCAAGAGACCGGUUUUCUGCUGCCGCCGCCAAAGGUCGAAGCGUCAAAUGAUGUGCACGGCAAGUUAAGGAGCAUGUGAUGUUGAAACUCAGCUCUAAAAGGCGAGUCAUGCCACGGUUCCUUCCAUCUUUUCUUUGGUUGCUAGUCAAACUUGCCACCAACAAGCCUGGCCAAAAGUGUUGGGGCUACUGAAGUCAAGUCAAUCCAAUUUUGACAAGAACAUGAAUUGGGGAAAGCAUUAAGGUGAAAAUUUAGCAAAUUUUGGCAAGAAGCCUUUUAGCCUUUCUUUUUUUUGUAAUAAACAGAACAAAACAAAACCAAACCAAAUCAGACACCCUGCCCAUGCCCAUGCCCAUGCCCAUGGCCCAAUACCGUUGAUCCGUUUUUUUAGGAAACCUAGUACUGCCACCUAGCCAGGCCCAUUGACAAACGACAGAUAUGGGCUGGCGCAAGCAAGACAGAAUCCUACCAAAUCCAAUGCUCGGAAUGGAGGAUCCCAUCGUCUCCCUGUUCUGGAACUGGGACAGCUGAGUACUUGAAUGGAAACUACUAUUCUGGGUGAUAAACAGUCAGCUAUAUAGAUAGAUAGUCUUCUCAGUAACCUAAGCUCCACAACGAUCUCUGGUACAAUUUUCACAGUAACAGUUUAUAACUGGAAAAAAGAAGCAGCAAACAAGGCUCUUGAAUCCCGUUCCCACAUGGUUGGGCGCUAGAAGCAGAACGACUGU
Molecule: long non-coding RNA, 1174 nt
Organism: Brachypodium distachyon (stiff brome)
Lineage: Eukaryota; Viridiplantae; Streptophyta; Magnoliopsida; Poales; Poaceae
Exons: 2
Source: RefSeq, a predicted model, not a curated record